GUGGGGAAUCUUGCGCAAUGGGCGAAAGCCUGACGCAGCCAUGCCGCGUGAAUGAUGAAGGUCUUAGGAUUGUAAAAUUCUUUCACCGGGGACGAUAAUGACGGUACCCGGAGAAGAAGCUCCGGCUAACUUCGUGCCAGCAGCCGCGGUAAUACGAAGGGGGCUAGCGUUGCUCGGAAUUACUGGGCGUAAAGGGCGCGUAGGCGGACAGCUUAGUCAGAGGUGAAAGCCCAGGGCUCAACCUUGGAAUUGCCUUUGAUACUGGGUGUCUUGAGUGUGGGAGAGGUGAGUGGAACUCCGAGUGUAGAGGUGAAAUUCGUAGAUAUUCGGAAGAACACCAGUGGCGAAGGCGACUCACUGGCCCAAUACUGACGCUGAGGCGCGAAAGCGUGGGGAGCAAACAGGAUUAGAUACCCUGGUAGUCC
RNAcentral lists this ribosomal RNA (425 nucleotides) under uncultured bacterium. RNAcentral's name for it is "partial 16S ribosomal RNA". It matches the Rfam family "Bacterial small subunit ribosomal RNA", at positions 354 to 796 of the family's 1533-position model. The record is from RNAcentral.